CACGUAGGCACCAAGCGUUGUCCGGAUUUAUUGGGCGUAAAGAGCUCGUAGGCGGUUCAGUAAGUCGGGUGGGAAAACUUUGGGCUUAACCCAAAGCGUGCAUCCGAUACUGCUGUGACUUGAGUACGGUAGGGGAGCGGGGAAUUCCUAGUGUAGCGGUGAAAUGCGCAGAUAUUAGGAGGAACACCGGUGGCGAAGGCGACGUCCUGGACCGGCAUUGACGCUGAGGCGCGAAAGCCAGGGGAGCAAACGGG
This 254-nucleotide ribosomal RNA is filed under the name uncultured bacterium. RNAcentral's name for it is "partial 16S ribosomal RNA". It matches the Rfam family "Bacterial small subunit ribosomal RNA", at positions 524 to 776 of the family's 1533-position model. The record is from RNAcentral.